GAUUUAAUUUAAGGGCCACUUCAUUUGAUAACAACUGGCCCGGCGUCUUGUUGAUUCCUCUUGGGGCAACACGUUUCAAUGGCACAAUUCUCUCUCUUCUCUCUCUCUCCUUCUUCACCUCCUCCCGCUGCUGCGUUUCGUCUGCGACUUCACAAUCGCAGCCGACUUUUUUUUCAGUUAAACAGAAUUCAAGCUUCUUCUGAUUCUACUUCUACUUCCGCUCGUGAUUUGAAUCCGAAAGUCGUGGUAACCAGAGAACGUGGCAAAAACGGAAAGCUCAUCGAGGCUCUGGCAAAGCAUGGGAUUGGUUGUUUGGAGCUUCCACUUAUCCAGCAUGCCCAGGGACCUGAUUUGGGUAGACUAUCUUCUUUACUAAGUGCAGAUGCUGCAUUCGACUGGAUCAUCAUAACUUCACCUGAAGCAGGUUCUGUCUUUCUAGAGGCAUGGAAGGAAGCUGGUACCCCUAAUGUUAAGGUUGGUGUUGUGGGAGCUGGCACAGCUAGUAUUUUUGAAGAAGUAAGGCAAUUGUCAAAGCAUUCCCUUGAUGUGGCCUUUACACCAUCAAAAGCUACAGGAAAAGUUUUGGCUUCAGAGCUUCCAAAGAACGGGAAUAAAAGAUGCACUGUUUUGUAUCCUGCUUCUGCAAAAGCUAGCAAUGAGAUUGAAGAAGGAUUAUCCAAUCGCGGAUUUGAGGUUGUGAGGCUGAAUACAUACACAACGGUACCUGUUGAUGAUGUUGACCAGACUAUUCUGAAGCGGGCACUUUGUACCCCAGUUGUUGCAGUUGCUUCACCUUCUGCAGUUCGUUCCUGGGUCAAUCUUAUUUCAGAAUCUGAACAGUGGAGCAAUUCAGUUGCAUGUAUUGGUGAGACUACUGCUUCUGCUGCAAAAAGAUUAGGCCUGAAAAAUGUUUACUACCCAACACAUCCUGGACUUGAAGGAUGGGUUGAUAGUAUUCUUGAAGCCUUGAGAGCACAUGAACACAUCUAGAAAUUUUGAGUUAUUCAGUUUUCCUCCAGCUGGCUGACAAGGAAUAAUCAGGCAAGCUCAUCAACAAACAAGCCAUAAUUAUGACAGGAAAACUUGCAAGCGGCAGAACAAAAAGGUGCUGAGAUGUUUGACAUUGUGGAGACAUUGUAUCUCAUUGGCUGAGCUUUCCUUUGAGGUCACUAAAGAAGCUUUCUCUAUAUGUGCGUGGAUGAUGAAAACACUAACAGAUACCGGGCACAUGCAUUACAUGCAGUGUUAUAAAGCCCAAGCUGGUCGGUUUAACUAGGAACCCCUGUUAAAUCUAGUUUGAUUGAUAAAUUAAAUUCAUUUUAUUUAUUAGAUUAGAUUGAUCUGGGAUUGAGUGAUAUGAAUCAUGUGUUCAAUUAGUGGGUCAAUCAGACAAUCAUUUUGAUGUUAUAUUUGUAUCCUAUAAAAUGAACACUUUAAAAUUUUA
Mangifera indica (mango) is the source of this 1444-nucleotide RNA transcript. It is a transcript of the gene named uroporphyrinogen-III synthase, chloroplastic-like, with no coding region annotated. Lineage: Eukaryota; Viridiplantae; Streptophyta; Magnoliopsida; Sapindales; Anacardiaceae. The transcript has 11 exons. The record is from RefSeq and is a predicted model, not a curated record.